ACAACCUUAGGAGGUUUGGGUACAAAGCAAAAGAGGAAAGCUUAAGCCUAAGAAACGGCAUUCGGAGUAGAGGCAUCCGCUGCAAGCAUGUCAGUUGUAGUGGGAUUCUAAACUUCAUCCAAAAAGUUUAGAUUAAGCUCUGGAUAUUUGGCAAUGACUCUGUCCCAAACCAACUACCUUCCGGCAUCAUAGGUGUCGAUGGAAAGUUCAACCUUUUCAUCCUCAUACUUAGCCAACACCC
Molecule: long non-coding RNA, 241 nt
Filed under: Elaeis guineensis (African oil palm)
Lineage: Eukaryota; Viridiplantae; Streptophyta; Magnoliopsida; Arecales; Arecaceae
Description: long non-coding RNA (EGUI_LNC024059)
Source: RNAcentral